This 232-nucleotide long non-coding RNA is filed under the name Prunus persica (peach). Its description in RNAcentral is "long non-coding RNA (PPER_LNC000761)". The record is from RNAcentral. Lineage: Eukaryota; Viridiplantae; Streptophyta; Magnoliopsida; Rosales; Rosaceae.
AACCAUGCUUCGUUUGUGGAAGAACAAAUCAUUGGGCCAAAGACUGUCAUUACAAGAAGACCGAGCCCUACAAACCCAAGCCUAAGUGGAACAAAGGACAAAGUGGUCCUAAAGCCCAAGUGAAUGUGUUGGUGGAUCAAGAUGAUCAAGAUGAACCCAAUCUAAGGUAUAGUUUUAAGCCUCUAGUUAAUGUCGCAUAUUUAAGUAAUAGUGAUUGGUGGUUAGAUUCUGG